AUUACCGAGUUUUCAACUCCCUAACCCUUCUGUGAACCUACCUAUCGUUGCUUCGGCGGACUCGCCCCAGCCCGGACGCGGACUGGACCAGCGGCCCGCCGGGGACCUCAAACUCUUGUAUUCCAGCAUCUUCUGAAUACGCCGCAAGGCAAAACAAAUGAAUCAAAACUUUCAACAACGGAUCUCUUGGCUCUGGCAUCGAUGAAGAACGCAGCGAAAUGCGAUAAGUAAUGUGAAUUGCAGAAUCCAGUGAAUCAUCGAAUCUUUGAACGCACAUUGCGCCCGCCAGCAUUCUGGCGGGCAUGCCUGUUCGAGCGUCAUUUCAACCCUCGACCUCCCCUGGGGGAGGUCGGCGUUGGGGACCGGCAGCACACCGCCGGCCCUGAAAUGGAGUGGCGGCCCGUCCGCGGCGACCUCUGCGUAGUAAUACAGCUCGCACCGGAACCCCGACGCGGCCACGCCGUAAAACACCCAACUUCUGAACGUUGACCUCGAAUCAGGUAGGACUACCCGCUGAACUUAAGCAUAUCAAA
Molecule: ribosomal RNA, 533 nt
Filed under: Beauveria bassiana
Lineage: Eukaryota; Fungi; Ascomycota; Sordariomycetes; Hypocreales; Cordycipitaceae
Description: eukaryotic LSU rRNA
Rfam family: 5.8S ribosomal RNA (bases 167-320)
Source: RNAcentral